Molecule: long non-coding RNA, 915 nt
Organism: Gossypium arboreum
Lineage: Eukaryota; Viridiplantae; Streptophyta; Magnoliopsida; Malvales; Malvaceae
Exons: 5
Source: RefSeq, a predicted model, not a curated record
AUAGCAAGGAUUUCAAUUUCAGGUUGGGAUUGUAUCUACAAAGACUACAAUAUUUUCUAUUCGCUAAUUACUCUAUCAGUGCAUCAGUGAUUUCCCUUUGGAUUUUUCUCUUGAUUUGGGGUUUCUUUUGUUUUGGUGUUCUUAUUUCAAAAGGCUGCCCUCUACAACUGUAAUGUUGCUGGAACGCCUGCAGUUGUCACUCGUGGAUUGUACCCUGUUGAAACCAUUUCUACUGUUGGCAAAAUUUGUGCAAAGGACUAUCUGGCAGCACCCUCAACAGCUGACCAGUCUUACAUUGUUAUUUUAGAGCAUACAAUUGCAGAGAGAGAACGCAGUGACCACUCUGCGUAUGUGCAAGACAUGAGUGCACAUAAUUUCUUAGAGGUAGGAGCAGCUGCUUUACUUGUUGGAGAUAUGGAAGCAAAAAUGAAUGGCCAGCCCUGGAAAUAUUUUGGCACUGCAUGCCUCAUCUUGAUCAACUCUUACAGCCUUCACCAGUCACAACAAUUGCCAAUUCUGCUUCUGCUCGCUUCCAUUUAAGAGCAAUUACAGCAUUGAAACGCAGUAGAGGAGGACCUCAUCAAAUUUGUACGCUACAUGGAUGACUAUAGUUGUUCCGACCAGUAUGACAGCAUAUCUUUAUCUCUACUCUAAUGGAGAAGUAUCAUUGGCUGCCACCCAACCAGUGUAAUAGAUGUAAUUUUACCGUAUAUUAAUUUUUGAGAUCAAUAUGUAAUUUUAUCAUAUCUUAAUUUAUAGUUCCAUCUUUUUUGAAGGUACUAAACAUAUUUUUUUAAUAUUUUAGGGGCUAAAGUGCAAUUUUACCAUAGAUCAAUUUGUAAUUUUAUUCUUUCUAAAGGGACGGAAUUGAAAAUUUUUUAUUUCAAAGGCUAUAAGUUUUGAUUUUUUAUUUCA